CCUACGGGAGGCAGCAGUGAGGAAUAUUGGUCAAUGGACGAGAGUCUGAACCAGCCAAGUAGCGUGAAGGAUGACUGCCCUAUGGGUUGUAAACUUCUUUUAUAUGGGAAUAAAAUGUUCCACGUGUGUGAUUUUGUAUGUACCAUAUGAAUAAGGAUCGGCUAACUCCGUGCCAGCAGCCGCGGUAAUACGGAGGAUCCGAGCGUUAUCCGGAUUUAUUGGGGUUAAAGGGAGCGUAGGUGGAUUGUUAAGUCAGUUGUGAAAGUUUGCGGCUAAACCGUAAAAUUGCAGUUGAAACUGGCAGUCUUGAGUACAGUAGAGGUAGGCGGAAUUCGGGGUGUAGCGGUGAAAUGCUUAGAUAUCACGAAGAACUCCGAUUGCGAAGGCAGUUCACUGGACUGCAACUGACACUGAGGCUCGAAAGUGUGGGUAUCAAACAGGAUUAGAUACCCGUGUAGUC
RNAcentral lists this ribosomal RNA (460 nucleotides) under uncultured bacterium. RNAcentral describes it as "partial 16S ribosomal RNA". It matches the Rfam family "Bacterial small subunit ribosomal RNA", at positions 338 to 795 of the family's 1533-position model. The record is from RNAcentral.